Molecule: ribosomal RNA, 467 nt
Filed under: uncultured bacterium
Lineage: Bacteria
Description: partial 16S ribosomal RNA
Rfam family: Bacterial small subunit ribosomal RNA
Source: RNAcentral
GGACGAACGCUGGCGGCGCGCCUAACCCAUGCAAGUCGAACGAGCGAGAGAGAGCUUGCUUUCUCGAGCGAGUGGCGAACGGGUGAGUAACGCGUGAGGAACCUGCCUCAAAGAGGGGGACAACAGUUGGAAACGACUGCUAAUACCGCAUAAGCCCACGGCUCGGCAUCGAGCAGGGGGAAAAGGAGCAAUCCGCUUUGAGAUGGCCUCGCGUCCGAUUAGCUAGUUGGUGAGGUAACGGCCCACCAAGGCGACGAUCGGUAGCCGGACUGAGAGGUUGAACGGCCACAUUGGGACUGAGACACGGCCCAGACUCCUACGGGAGGCAGCAGUGGGGAAUAUUGCACAAUGGGGGAAACCCUGAUGCAGCGACGCCGCGUGGAGGAAGAAGGUCUUCGGAUUGUAAACUCCUGUUGUUGGGGAAGAUAAUGACGGUACCCAACAAGGAAGUGACGGCUAACUACGUG